Molecule: ribosomal RNA, 133 nt
Filed under: uncultured bacterium
Lineage: Bacteria
Description: partial 16S ribosomal RNA
Source: RNAcentral
UGGGUACCGUCAAUGCCGGAGGUAUUAGCNCCGGGUUUUUCUUUCCCAAUAAAAGUGCUUUACAACCCGCAGGCCUUCUUCACACACGCGGCAUUGCUGCAUCAGGCUUGCGCCCAUUGUGCAAUAUUCCCCA